ACUGCAAGUCGACGCUUCUUUUCCCACCGGAGCUUGCUCCACCGGGAAAAGAGGAGUGGCGAACGGGUGAGUAACACGUGGGUAACCUGCCCAUCAGAAGGGGAUAACACUUGGAAACAGGUGCUAAUACCGUAUAACAAUCGAAACCGCAUGGUUUCGUUUUGAAAGGCGCUUUACGGUGCCGCUGAUGGAUGGACCCGCGGUGCAUUAGCUAGUUGGUGAGGUAACGGCUCACCAAGGCCACGAUGCAUAGCCGACCUGAGAGGGUGAUCGGCCACAUUGGGACUGAGACACGGCCCAAACUCCUACGGGAGGCAGCAGUAGGGAAUCUUCGGCAAUGGACGAAAGUCUGACCGAGCAACGCCGCGUGAGUGAAGAAGGUUUUCGGAUCGUAAAACUCUGUUGUUAGAGAAGAACAAGGGUGAGAGUAACUGUUCACCCCUUGACGGUAUCUAACCAGAAAGCCACGGCUAACUACGUGCCAGCAGCCGCGGUAAUACGUAGGUGGCAAGCGUUGUCCGGAUUUAUUGGGCGUAAAGCGAGCGCAGGCGGUUUCUUAAGUCUGAUGUGAAAGCCCCCGGCUCAACCGGGGAGGGUCAUUGGAAACUGGGAGACUUGAGUGCAGAAGAGGAGAGUGGAAUUCCAUGUGUAGCGGUGAAAUGCGUAGAUAUAUGGAGGAACACCAGUGGCGAAGGCGGCUCUCUGGUCUGUAACUGACGCUGAGGCUCGAAAGCGUGGGGAGCAAACAGGAUUAGAUACCCUGGUAGUCCACGCCGUAAACGAUGAGUGCUAAGUGUUGGAGGGUUUCCGCCCUUCAGUGCUGCAGCUAACGCAUUAAGCACUCCGCCUGGGGAGUACGACCGCAAGGUUGAAACUCAAAGGAAUUGACGGGGGCCCGCACAAGCGGUGGAGCAUGUGGUUUAAUUCGAAGCAACGCGAAGAACCUUACCAGGUCUUGACAUCCUUUGACCACUCUAGAGAUAGAGCUUCCCCUUCGGGGGCAAAGUGACAGGUGGUGCAUGGUUGUCGUCAGCUCGUGUCGUGAGAUGUUGGGUUAAGUCCCGCAACGAGCGCAACCCUUAUUGUUAGUUGCCAUCAUUUAGUUGGGCACUCUAGCAAGACUGCCGGUGACAAACCGGAGGAAGGUGGGGAUGACGUCAAAUCAUCAUGCCCCUUAUGACCUGGGCUACACACGUGCUACAAUGGGAAGUACAACGAGUCGCGAAGUCGCGAGGCUAAGCUAAUCUCUUAAAGCUUCUCUCAGUUCGGAUUGUAGGCUGCAACUCGCCUACAUGAAGCCGGAAUCGCUAGUAAUCGCGGAUCAGCACGCCGCGGUGAAUACGUUCCCGGGCCUUGUACACACCGCCCGUCACACCACGAGAGUUUGUAACACCCGAAGUCGGUGAGGUAACCUUUUGGA
This 1420-nucleotide ribosomal RNA is filed under the name Enterococcus mundtii. RNAcentral's name for it is "bacterial SSU rRNA". It matches the Rfam family "Bacterial small subunit ribosomal RNA". The record is from RNAcentral. Lineage: Bacteria; Bacillati; Bacillota; Bacilli; Lactobacillales; Enterococcaceae.